UAGGGAAUCUUCGGCAAUGGGGGGAACCCUGACCGAGCAACGCCGCGUGAGUGAAGAAGGUUUUCGGAUCGUAAAGCUCUUUUGUUAAGGAAGAACGAGUGUGAGAAUGGAAAGUUCAUGCUGUGACGGUACUUAACCAGAAAGGGACGGCUAACUACGUGCCAGCAGCCGCGGUAAUACGUAGGUCCCGAGCGUUGUCCGGAUUUAUUGGGCGUAAAGCGAGCGCAGGCGGUUAGAAAAGUCUGAAGUGAAAGGCAGUGGCUCAACCAUUGUAGGCUUUGGAAACUGUUUAACUGGAGUGCAGAAGGGGAGAGUGGAAUUCCAUGUGUAGCGGUGAAAUGCGUAGAUAUAUGGAGGAACACCGGUGGCGAAAGCGGCUCUCUGGUCUGUAACUGACGCUGAGGCUCGAAAGCGUGGGGAGCGAACAGG
Molecule: ribosomal RNA, 429 nt
Filed under: Bacteroidota bacterium
Lineage: Bacteria; Pseudomonadati; Bacteroidota
Description: Bacteroidetes bacterium partial 16S ribosomal RNA
Rfam family: Bacterial small subunit ribosomal RNA
Source: RNAcentral